UAUUAUUGAUGAUGUAAAAUUUUGUACUUGAGUAGUAUUAGUUAUGAUCUUUAAACUUAAAGAAUUUGGCGGUAUUUUAGUCUAUUUAGAGGAAUCUGUCCCUUAAUCGAUAUUCCGCGUUGGAACUUACUUAAUUUUAAUGUUUAUAUAUCGCCGUUUUGUUUGAAGAUCUUUUUAGGGUUUAUAUUGAAUUUUCUGGUUAUUUAAUUUUAUAUUAUUUCAGGUCAAGGUUUAAUUUAUAAUUAAGUGGAGAUGGAUUACAAUAGUUUUGGUUAUUAUGGAUUAUUAAUUGUAAUGUUAAUAUGAAGGUGGAUUUAAUAGUAAUUUAUAUUUAGUAUGUUAAGGUGAUUUUAGCUCUAAGAUAUGUACACAUCGCCCGUCACUCUCGUUAUUUAAGAUGAG
Molecule: ribosomal RNA, 402 nt
Filed under: Eupolyphaga yunnanensis
Lineage: Eukaryota; Metazoa; Arthropoda; Insecta; Blattodea; Corydiidae
Description: partial 12S ribosomal RNA
Source: RNAcentral